UACGGGGGGUGCAAGCGUUAAUCGGAGUUAUUGGGCGUAAAGGGUACGUAGGUGGUUCAUUAAGUUAUGUGGGAAAUACCUGGGCUUAACCUGGGAAUGUCGGAUAAUACUGGUGAACUUGAGUAUAGUAGAGGGUAGUGGAAUUUCCGGUGUAGCGGUGAAAUGCGUAGAGAUCGGAAGGAACACCAGUGGCGAAGGCG
RNAcentral lists this ribosomal RNA (200 nucleotides) under uncultured bacterium. Its description in RNAcentral is "partial 16S ribosomal RNA". It matches the Rfam family "Bacterial small subunit ribosomal RNA", at positions 524 to 723 of the family's 1533-position model. The record is from RNAcentral.